RNAcentral lists this unclassified non-coding RNA (345 nucleotides) under soil metagenome. RNAcentral's name for it is "partial contains 5.8S ribosomal RNA, internal transcribed spacer 2, and large subunit ribosomal RNA". The stretch from base 1 to 120 matches the Rfam family "5.8S ribosomal RNA", at positions 35 to 154 of the family's 154-position model. The record is from RNAcentral.
GAUGAAGAACGUAGCGAAAUGCGAUACGUAAUGUGAAUUGCAGAAUUCAGUGAAUCAUCGAGUCUUUGAACGCACAUUGCGCCCCCUGGUAUUCCGGGGGGCAUGCCUGUCCGAGCGUCAUUGCUGCCCUCAAGCACGGCUUGUGUGUUGGGCCUCCGUCCUCCUCCCGGGGGACGGGCCCGAAAGGCAGCGGCGGCACCGCGUCCGGUCCUCGAGCGUAUGGGGCUUCGUCACCCGCUCUUGUAGGCCCGGCCGGCGCUUGCCGACACAUCAAUCUUUUUUCCAGGUUGACCUCGGAUCAGGUAGGGAUACCCGCUGAACUUAAGCAUAUCAAUAAGAGGAGGA